RNAcentral lists this microRNA precursor (101 nucleotides) under Caenorhabditis brenneri. RNAcentral's name for it is "pre miRNA CBN33906". The stretch from base 14 to 85 matches the Rfam family "mir-239 microRNA precursor family". The record is from RNAcentral. Lineage: Eukaryota; Metazoa; Nematoda; Chromadorea; Rhabditida; Rhabditidae.
AACUGACAAGUUGCAGUUUUUGUACUUCACAAGAGUACUGGCGGUUCAGGUCCGGCUCAGAACUUUUGUGGGGUGCAAGAACAGCAAAACUGUCAUACUUU